Molecule: ribosomal RNA, 342 nt
Filed under: Triticum aestivum (bread wheat)
Lineage: Eukaryota; Viridiplantae; Streptophyta; Magnoliopsida; Poales; Poaceae
Description: partial small subunit ribosomal RNA
Source: RNAcentral
AUGAAGCCUGAAUUUUGGCCCCGUUUGCAGCUUCUCCAAAAAUUGCUCCUAGUCCUCGGGCUAAGUCUCAGCUCUUGCCGCCCUGCUCUUCAUCUGCAGCACACACGCGGCGGCGUGGCCUUCUCCAGGCACAACAGUGCUUCAAGUAAUCCUGGAAAGGUCUGGCCGGAACAGGAAUGGACUUGCCAACAUACGCGAGGGGCCAGCUGGAUUGGAAAGACAGACAGAGAGAUGGUAAUGUGGCCAUUGGAAGGAAGAAAUAAAUCACUCUUUAACAGUUCUCAGAGUGUAAUUUAUGGGUUGCCAUCAACGUGUUGGAAAAUUAAUGCCCAGAUUAAUUAA